This 1030-nucleotide ribosomal RNA is filed under the name uncultured archaeon. RNAcentral describes it as "bacterial SSU rRNA". It matches the Rfam family "Archaeal small subunit ribosomal RNA", at positions 18 to 1054 of the family's 1478-position model. The record is from RNAcentral.
CAGAGGUUACUGCUAUCGAGGUUCGACUAAGCCAUGCGAGUCGAAUGUAGCAAUACAUGGCGUACUGCUCAGUAACACGUGGACAACCUGCCCUUAGGUUGGGUAUAAACCCGGGAAACUGGGUAUAAUCCCCUAUAAGUCUCGGCUGCUGGAAUGCACCGAGAUUAAAAGCUCCGGCGCCUAAGGAUGGGUCUGCGGCCUAUCAGGUAGUAGUGGGUGUAGCGUACCUACUAGCCUACGACGGGUACGGGUUGUGAGAGCAAGAGCCCGGAGAUGGAUUCUGAGACACGAAUCCAGGCCCUACGGGGUGCAGCAGGCGCGAAAACUUUACAAUGCUGGCAACAGCGAUAAGGGAACCUCGAGUGCCAGGUUACAAAUCUGGCUGUCGAGAUGCCUAAAAAGCAUUUCAUAGCAAGGGCCGGGCAAGACCGGUGCCAGCCGCCGCGGUAACACCGGCGGCUCGAGUGGUAACCGUUAUUAUUGGGUCUAAAGGGUCUGUAGCCGGCCGGAUAAGUCUCUUGAGAAAUCUGGCAGCUUAACUGUCAGGCUUUCAGGAGAUACUGUCUGGCUCGAGGCCGGGAGAGGUGAGAGGUACUUCAGGGGUAGGGGUGAAAUCUUGUAAUCCUUGAAGGACCACCAGUGGCGAAGGCGUCUCACCAGAACGGACCUGACGGCAAGGGACGAAAGCUAGGGGCACGAACCGGAUUAGAUACCCGGGUAGUCCUAGCCGUAAACGAUACUCGCUAGGCGUCGGCCACGGUGCGACCGUUGUCGGUGCCGUAGGGAAGCCGUGAAGCGAGCCACCUGGGAAGUACGGCCGCAAGGCUGAAACUUAAAGGAAUUGGCGGGGGAGCACCACAACGGGUGGAGCUUGCGGUUUAAUUGGAUUCAACGCCGGAAAUCUUACCGGGACCGACAGCAAUAUGAAGGCCAGGCUGAAGACUUUGCCGGAUUAGCUGAAAGGUGGUGCAUGGCCGUCGUCAGUUCGUACUGUGAAGCAUCCUGUUAAGUCAGGCAACGAGCGGACCCA